UACGAAGGGUGCAAGCGUUACUCGGAAUUACUGGGCGUAAAGCGUGCGUAGGCGGUUCUUUAAGUCUGAUGUGAAAGCCCUGGGCUCAACCUGGGAAUGCAUUGGAAACUGGCGACCUAGAGUGCGGUAGAGGGUAGUGGAAUUCCCGGUGUAGCAGUGAAAUGCGUAGAGAUCGGGAGGAACAUCUGUGGCGAAGGCGACUGCCUGGACCAGCACUGACACUGAGGCACGAAAGCGUGGGGAGCAAACAGG
This 252-nucleotide ribosomal RNA is filed under the name uncultured bacterium. RNAcentral's name for it is "partial 16S ribosomal RNA". It matches the Rfam family "Bacterial small subunit ribosomal RNA", at positions 524 to 776 of the family's 1533-position model. The record is from RNAcentral.